Molecule: ribosomal RNA, 617 nt
Filed under: Williopsis suaveolens
Lineage: Eukaryota; Fungi; Ascomycota; Saccharomycetes; Phaffomycetales; Wickerhamomycetaceae
Description: LSU rRNA
Rfam family: Eukaryotic large subunit ribosomal RNA
Source: RNAcentral
UUGGCAAUCAUAAGCGGAGGAAAAGAAACCAACAGGGAUUGCCUCAGUAACGGCGAGUGAAGCGGCAAAAGCUCAAAUUUGAAAUCUGGUACCUUUGGUGCCCGAGUUGUAAUUUGAAGAUAGUUUUCUGGUGCUGGCCCUUGUCUAUGUUCCUUGGAACAGGACGUCACAGAGGGUGAGAAUCCCGUCUGGCGGGGUGUCCAGUGCUUUGUAGAUUUCUAUCGACGAGUCGAGUUGUUUGGGAAUGCAGCUCUAAGUGGGUGGUAAAUUCCAUCUAAAGCUAAAUAUUGGCGAGAGACCGAUAGCGAACAAGUACAGUGAUGGAAAGAUGAAAAGAACUUUGAAAAGAGAGUGAAAAAGUACGUGAAAUUGUUGAAAGGGAAGGGUAUUAGAUCAGACUUGGUGUUUUGUGAUUAUCUUCCCUUCUUGGGUUGUGCACUCGCAUUUCACUGGGCCAGCAUCGGUUCGGGUGGUAAGAUAAUGACAUUGGAACGUGGCACUGCCUUCGGGUGGUGUGUUAUAGCCCUUGUUGAUGUUGCCUAUCUGGACCGAGGACUGCGGCUUUUGCCUAGGAUGCUGGCGUAAUGAUCUAACACCGCCCGUCUUGAACCCGGCCA